CUCAAGAGAGGUGUAAGCAACAACACAGCUUGCAGGCAGGAAAGGAAGUGUUUGGAUACUGAGACGGUCACCUUCUUUUGGAUGCUCACAAAGGAUAAAAAGCAUGUAGGGACAUCCAUCUCAGAUCAAAGCCUGUAUCCUGGUCCAGAAAAAGAGAUUUUCCAACUCCCACCAGUUGCACGUUGAGAAUAAACCUUUUUAAACAUG
This is a non-coding RNA of Poecilia reticulata (guppy), 207 nucleotides long. The record is from RefSeq and is a predicted model, not a curated record. Lineage: Eukaryota; Metazoa; Chordata; Actinopteri; Cyprinodontiformes; Poeciliidae.